GCCUCACAGUCAUGACCAGCAAGACACCAGCAGUCACAUAGUCACUCAGGUACAGGCCGGCCAGGUGCUGUUUCUCCCUCCUCUUGAUAUGCAGUGCUGCCCCAAAUGUUUCACUUGGCUAGAGAUGCAUUCCCGUGUGUGUGAUGUGGAAUUCCCCACAAAGGAGAAAACCGUCAUGAGAACACUUCAGUGCACGGCACUUGAUACAGAAGAAACAAACUGAACUAAUUUUCAUCUUAAAAGUUUAAAACACAAUUAAGUGAAACUUCCACAUAUAACCUUCUGCCAACACUGCAAAGGAUGUUAACAAAUUGUUGCUAAGUAGGGCAGUCAGACAGCUAUUCAUCACAGUCUUUUAACUUAAGAGAAUUUCAAGUGGACGCAAGGGACAAGAAGCAGAGAGCUGUCCCUGCACUGUGACUCAGCACUGCCUGGCCCCUGUCCCUCGUCACCCACAUCAGUGACUGUCCACAUCAGAGCCAUCGCAGCGGGGACUCUCCUUCAGCACUUCCACGUUUGUCUCAUGCAGUCCGUAGAGACCCUCAACGCAGGCACCAGCUGCUUCCCGGACAGUGUGAUGCACUUCUGGAAAAAGCUGUGGGUCUGGGCAUUUUCAGCCAGCUCUUAGCUCUUAAGGACACAGCAGCAUAUACUGCAGACCUGCCCCAGAAGCCAGUCUCAUUCCUAUUCAAGGAUCACAACUGAUCGUAAGACUGAUGGGGAGAAAGCACAAACGUGAAUCUUGCAAAGAUGUAAGAAAGGCUUUAGAACCAAAGCUUCAAGCCGUGUGACGUCACCAUCGUUGGGGAGUGCUAAUGCUAACCAGCGUGGUCCCGACACUCCCCGUGCCUCACAAGGAAAUGUAACAGGUAACACUGUCACAUCCCAGUCUCCAGGAACCUGGGCUGGAAGUGUAGGCCAGUGGUCAGGCUCUUGCCUAGCAAAGCACAAAGGCCAGGGUUUGAUCUUUUUACAAGAAAAAGGAGAAGGAGGAGGAGGAGGAAGAAAAAGAGGAGGAGGAAAAGAAGGAGGAGGACAGGGUAAAGGAGAAGAACAAGAAGGAGGUAGGUGGAGGUGAAUAAAUCUGCAUUCCUCUAGACUUUAACUCCCUUACUCUCUUUACUCACCAUUAAACACGUCUGAAGGAAACAGCAUGCAAAGACAGCAUCUGAAAG
RNAcentral lists this long non-coding RNA (1175 nucleotides) under Chinchilla lanigera (long-tailed chinchilla). Its description in RNAcentral is "lncRNA (ENSCLAG00000024714.1)". The record is from RNAcentral. Lineage: Eukaryota; Metazoa; Chordata; Mammalia; Rodentia; Chinchillidae.